Long non-coding RNA from Sinocyclocheilus grahami, 1668 nucleotides. Ensembl lists it as uncharacterized. NCBI's taxonomy places the organism in Eukaryota, Metazoa, Chordata, Actinopteri, Cypriniformes, Cyprinidae. The record is from Ensembl.
CUUCACGACGUGGUGAGGCACACCUGUUUCAGAGCAGUUAGACACUUGUCAACUUUCUUCCGUGUCUUUAAGAUUUCUUUUAUCGUCGACUUCUACCUGAGAUUCAGUGAACUGUUAAAGUUGUUUGGAUGUGUUAAUUCGGUUCGCACGCAUUUGAACUCAUCUUACAUGUGUUCAAAUGUGUCGAUAGAAAGAAUAACGCGAGGAAGAGCUUGCAACGGGACAGUUCAAGAGGCCACUGGACAACUAUGAAGCUACUUCACCCAUCAAAGAGCCUCCUUUAUAUGCUCCUAACCUUUGGACCCUUUCUAGGUGGGAUGUUGAUCCCUGUUGCAGUGAACAUUGGGGAUACUGCGAUUUUCACUUGUAAUGAGACAUGUAAUGGACAUCUCUUAUGGACUUUCCACACUAACAAUGAAAAUCUGGAAGUUUUAAAAUGUAUCCAAGAGAUUUGCACCAAAGGAGACCACUUUAAGAACAGAGUGAGCCUUAAGCCUGGAAACAUGUCUCUAGGCCUGUAUCCUGUUCUGUACAAUGAUGAAGGCUGGUACAUGGUCAAAUGUGAUUCAGUGUUUCGCUGUGAAUUCCACUUAGAAGCUCUUGUACCAACUACUGUGAUCACCUCAGUCAGAAGCAACGUCACACUACCCUGCUACGCACGCACAGAGAAACGAAUUACUGAUGAUGCUGUGAACAUCCUGUGGAAAAAAGAUGGCCAAACGGUGUUACAAGUUCAAAAAGGAAUUACAACAUAUGGCUCAGGUUUUACAGGCAGGGCAUCAAUUUCACUUCACCAUUAUAAGCACGGAGAUCUUUCCCUUAACAUGCUCAGGGUCACCACAUCAGAUAAGGGAUUGUACCAGUGCUAUCACAGAACUACAGAAGAACUGGGUUAUCCUGGUGCUGUCACUCUCAAUGUUACAGCUGAUCAAAAGUUCUAUACAAAAAAGUUUGGUGGAAAUCUCACCCUGGACCUGUUUGGCUCUGACCGUGUAAAGGUAACUUUCACCGGUCACAUGAACACUUGACAAUAACUGUGGAACACACAUUAUUUAUUCACUCAUACACUUAUUUAUCUAACACACACACUCAGUCUACACCUCAAAUUUGCACAUAAUAUUCAGUACCUGUACAUACAAAAACUGUCUAUUGUAAUAUACCUGCACAUACAACUGUCAAUUUAUAUAUUUUUAUUCCUUAUUUACUUGUUUUAUUUUUUAUUAUCUGUGUUUUUUGUUCUGUCACUGUCAUUCUGUUACACUGUGGAAGCUUCUGUCACGAAAACAAAUUCCUCGUAUGUGUAAACAUACCUUGCAAUAAAGCUCAUUCUGAUAUUUUUACUUCAGGAAGGCCUUAUAUCUGCAGUCUUGGUAAAAUUUAGGAAAACUUUUUUUGGCAAAAAAGAUCAAUUUGUAGUGAUGUAUGAAGCACAGCUCACACAGAAGUCACUUUCAAUUCCAAAUACCCACAGAAUGUAAAAUACUUUAAUUACAAAUCACAUAAUGGCCUUUUUCCUGUUAUGUUUACAUUGCUGACAGGCAUCUUAAAUCAUUAAGGUUGGGCUGCACAACUAUUAUUCUUGCCAUAAUGAUAAUGUCAGAUGUGGCCACACUGUGCUGCUUCUUAAGCAUUAUUCUGCACUUUUUCUUGAUAAACUUUAUUCUGCAC